This 165-nucleotide small nuclear RNA is filed under the name Balaenoptera musculus (blue whale). Its description in RNAcentral is "U2 spliceosomal RNA (ENSBMSG00010016383.1)". It matches the Rfam family "U2 spliceosomal RNA". From Rfam's summary of the family: U2 is a small nuclear RNA (snRNA) component of the spliceosome (involved in pre-mRNA splicing). Lineage: Eukaryota; Metazoa; Chordata; Mammalia; Artiodactyla; Balaenopteridae. The record is from RNAcentral.
CUUUUUCUGUGACAUCAAGUGUAGUAUCUGUCCUUAUCAGUUUAACAUCUGAUAUGUCCUCAACCCAACUGAUUUUUUAAAUUUUUGGUUAUGCUGAUUUUUACUGGGACAUGUGAAAAUGAAAGUAGGAAAUAUCUCAUUCAGUCUCUCAGUGCUUCACCAACU